AUGAGCGGCGGCGGCGGAGGAGCGGCGGCGACGCAGGGGCAGCAGGAUCUGCAGCUGCCGCCGGGGUUCCGGUUCCACCCGACGGACGAGGAGCUGGUGAUGCACUACCUCUGCCGGCGCUGCGCCGGCCUGCCCAUCUCCGUGCCCAUCAUCGCCGAGGUCGACCUCUACAAGUUCGACCCAUGGCAGCUCCCAAGAAUGGCGCUGUACGGCGAGAAGGAGUGGUACUUCUUCUCCCCGCGCGACCGCAAGUACCCGAACGGGUCGCGGCCGAACCGGUCGGCCGGCACGGGCUACUGGAAGGCCACCGGCGCCGACAAGCCGGUGGGCACGCCCAAGCCGCUGGCCAUCAAGAAGGCGCUCGUCUUCUACGCCGGCAAGGCCCCCAAGGGCGACAAGACCAACUGGAUCAUGCACGAGUACCGCCUCGCCGACGUCGACCGCUCCGCCCGCAAGAAGAACAGCCUCAGGUUGGAUGACUGGGUGCUGUGCCGGAUCUACAACAAGAAAGGCGCCUCGGAGAGGCCGGGCGCCGGUGACCGGACGGCGAGCGCGAGCCCCGGGCACGCGGCCGUCGGCUCGCCGCCGGAGCAGAAGCCGACCCUGCUGCCGCCGUACGCGCCGCAGCCGUUCUCGGACCUGGCGGCGUACUACGAGGUGAGGCCGUCGGACUCGAUGCCGCGGGCGCACGCCGACUCGAGCUGCUCGGAGCACGUGCUGACGGCGUCGUGCGAGCGGCCGGAAGUGCAGAGCCAGCCCAGGAUCUCCGAGUGGGAGCGCACGUUCGCCUCCGCCACCCCGGGCGUCAACCCGGCGGCCGGGCUCCCCGCCGGCGACCCGCUCCUCCAGGACAUCCUCAUGUACUGGGGCAAGCCGUUCUGA
RNAcentral lists this ribosomal RNA (882 nucleotides) under Triticum aestivum (bread wheat). RNAcentral describes it as "partial small subunit ribosomal RNA". The record is from RNAcentral. Lineage: Eukaryota; Viridiplantae; Streptophyta; Magnoliopsida; Poales; Poaceae.